This 1372-nucleotide ribosomal RNA is filed under the name uncultured bacterium. RNAcentral describes it as "bacterial SSU rRNA". It matches the Rfam family "Bacterial small subunit ribosomal RNA", at positions 28 to 1381 of the family's 1533-position model. The record is from RNAcentral.
GAUGAACGCUGGCGGCGUGCCUAAUACAUGCAAGUCGAGCGAACAGACAAGGAGCUUGCUCCUUUGACGUUAGCGGCGGACGGGUGAGUAACACGUGGGUAACCUACCUAUAAGACUGGGAUAACUUCGGGAAACCGGAGCUAAUACCGGAUAAUAUUUCGAACCGCAUGGUUCGAUAGUGAAAGAUGGUUUUGCUAUCACUUAUAGAUGGACCCGCGCCGUAUUAGCUAGUUGGUAAGGUAACGGCUUACCAAGGCGACGAUACGUAGCCGACCUGAGAGGGUGAUCGGCCACACUGGAACUGAGACACGGUCCAGACUCCUACGGGAGGCAGCAGUAGGGAAUCUUCCGCAAUGGGCGAAAGCCUGACGGAGCAACGCCGCGUGAGUGAUGAAGGUCUUCGGAUCGUAAAACUCUGUUAUUAGGGAAGAACAUACGUGUAAGUAACUAUGCACGUCUUGACGGUACCUAAUCAGAAAGCCACGGCUAACUACGUGCCAGCAGCCGCGGUAAUACGUAGGUGGCAAGCGUUAUCCGGAAUUAUUGGGCGUAAAGCGCGCGUAGGCGGUUUUUUAAGUCUGAUGUGAAAGCCCACGGCUCAACCGUGGAGGGUCAUUGGAAACUGGAAAACUUGAGUGCAGAAGAGGAAAGUGGAGUUCCAUGUGUAGCGGUGAAAUGCGCAGAGAUAUGGAGGAACACCAGUGGCGAAGGCGACUUUCUGGUCUGUAACUGACGCUGACGUGCGAAAGCGUGGGGAUCAAACAGGAUUAGAUACCCUGGUAGUCCACGCCGUAAACGAUGAGUGCUAAGUGUUAGGGGGUUUCCGCCCCUUAGUGCUGCAGCUAACGCAUUAAGCACUCCGCCUGGGGAGUACGACCGCAAGGUUGAAACUCAAAGGAAUUGACGGGGACCCGCACAAGCGGUGGAGCAUGUGGUUUAAUUCGAAGCAACGCGAAGAACCUUACCAAAUCUUGACAUCCUUUGACAACUCUAGAGAUAGAGCCUUCCCCUUCGGGGGACAAAGUGACAGGUGGUGCAUGGUUGUCGUCAGCUCGUGUCGUGAGAUGUUGGGUUAAGUCCCGCAACGAGUGCAACCCUUAAGCUUAGUUGCCAUCAUUAAGUUGGGCACUCUAAGUUGACUGCCGGUGACAAACCGGAGGAAGGUGGGGAUGACGUCAAAUCAUCAUGCCCCUUAUGAUUUGGGCUACACACGUGCUACAAUGGACAAUACAAAGGGCAGCGAAACCGCGAGGUCAAGCAAAUCCCAUAAAGUUGUUCUCAGUUCGGAUUGUAGUCUGCAACUCGACUACAUGAAGCUGGAAUCGCUAGUAAUCGUAGAUCAGCAUGCUACGGUGAAUACGUUCCCGGGUCU